RNAcentral lists this ribosomal RNA (681 nucleotides) under Triticum aestivum (bread wheat). RNAcentral describes it as "partial small subunit ribosomal RNA". The record is from RNAcentral. Lineage: Eukaryota; Viridiplantae; Streptophyta; Magnoliopsida; Poales; Poaceae.
AUGAUAACCCUUUUUGCAUGCUGCAAGGACUCGUCAAGUCGGGCAGUUGCCGAGGCAGCGUGGGGAAGCGGAGACGCCCACGUCCAAUCAAUCGCCACGCGUCGACCAAGGCCGCAGGCUGUUGGGGCCCGCGGCGCUCCGCACUUGCCCUUUGGCUUCGCCUCGAAGCCAAGUCCGAGCGUGCCUUGGGCCCGGGGGCUACUGUCGGCGUUCUGGGAACGGAGGUCCCCAGACUUGCCUGCCUACGGCCCACGGCGUGGCUCCACCCGCGGCCCAGUUCGACUCGUCUUCACCAGCAAUCACUCAAGACCCUCGCGAGGCGGACGACACAAGACCUCCUCGGGGGCAGCCUCACCAGGCUGGCUCGCGAGGGGCGGAGAGAUCAAGGCAAGGCGAACCUCGCGAGGUUCCAAUGACGUAAGCCAUGACGACCAAGGCCAGGCGGGCGCCAGCGCGCACAGUGUCCUCGUUUCCUCUUUGGUGCUAAGGAGGCAAGCGCAGGCGAGGAGUACCGAGGCAUCAGGCAAAGGUUUCCAUAUCGGUGCAACGAGACCAAGACCAGCAGGACGGCAGGAGGGAGGUCACCGUGGAGCCCAAGACGGCGUCACCACCAGAGCCUUUGGCAGACGAAGACCACCUUUAGUCAGGAUAGCUUGUACUAGCUGCCCCCCUUCAAAUUGA